This 1250-nucleotide ribosomal RNA is filed under the name metagenome. RNAcentral's name for it is "bacterial SSU rRNA". It matches the Rfam family "Bacterial small subunit ribosomal RNA", at positions 243 to 1520 of the family's 1533-position model. The record is from RNAcentral.
AGCUAGUUGGUGAGGUAAUGGCCCACCAAGGCGACGAUCGGUAGCCGGACUGAGAGGUUGAACGGCCACAUUGGGACUGAGACACGGCCCAGACUCCUACGGGAGGCAGCAGUGGGGAAUAUUGCACAAUGGGGGAAACCCUGAUGCAGCGACGCCGCGUGGAGGAAGAAGGUCUUCGGAUUGUAAACUCCUGUUGUUGAGGAAGAUAAUGACGGUACUCAACAAGGAAGUGACGGCUAACUACGUGCCAGCAGCCGCGGUAAAACGUAGGUCACAAGCGUUGUCCGGAAUUACUGGGUGUAAAGGGAGCGCAGGCGGGCGAUCAAGUUGGAAGUGAAAUCCAUGGGCUCAACCCAUGAACUGCUUUCAAAACUGAUUGUCUUGAGUAGUGCAGAGGUAGGCGGAACUCCCGGUGUAGCGGUGGAAUGCGUAGAUAUCGGGAGGAACACCAGUGGCGAAGGCGGCCUACUGGGCACCAACUGACGCUGAGGCUCGAAAGUGUGGGUAGCAAACAGGAUUAGAUACCCUGGUAGUCCACACCGUAAACGAUGAUUACUAGGUGUUGGAGGAUUGACCCCUUCAGUGCCGCAGUUAACACAAUAAGUAAUCCACCUGGGGAGUACGACCGCAAGGUUGAAACUCAAAGGAAUUGACGGGGGCCCGCAUAAGCAGUGGAGUAUGUGGUUUAAUUCGACGCAACGCGAAGAACCUUACCAAGUCUUGACAUCCUGCGACGGACAUAGAAAUAUGUUUUUCCUUCGGGACGCAGAGACAGGUGGUGCAUGGUUGUCGUCAGCUCGUGUCGUGAGAUGUUGGGUUAAGUCCCGCAACGAGCGCAACCCUUAUGGUCAGUUACUACGCAAGAGGACUCUGGCCAGACUGCCGUUGACAAAACGGAGGAAGGUGGGGAUGACGUCAAAUCAUCAUGCCCUUUAUGACUUGGGCUACACACGUACUACAAUGGCGUUAAACAAAGAGAAGCAAGACCGCGAGGUGGAGCAAAACUCAGAAACAACGUCCCAGUUCGGACUGCAGGCUGCAACUCGCCUGCACGAAGUCGGAAUUGCUAGUAAUCGCAGAUCAGCAUGCUGCGGUGAAUACGUUCCCGGGCCUUGUACACACCGCCCGUCACACCAUGAGAGCCGGGGGGACCCGAAGUCGGUAGUCUAACCGCAAGGAGGACGCCGCCGAAGGUAAAACUGGUGAUUGGGGUGAAGUCGGAACAAGGUAGCCGUAGGAACCUGCGGCUG